AAGAGCCCACCAAGGCGAUGAUCCGUAGCUGGUCUGAGAGGAUGACCAGCCACACUGGGACUGAGACACGGCCCAGACUCCUACGGGAGGCAGCAGUGGGGAAUAUUGGACAAUGGGGGCAACCCUGAUCCAGCCAUGCCGCGUGUGUGAAGAAGGCCUUCGGGUUGUAAAGCACUUUCAGCUGUGAGGAAAGGUGAGUGGUUAAUACCCGCUUACUGUGACGUUAACAGCAGAAGAAGGACCGGCUAACUCCGUGCCAGCAGCCGCGGUAAUACGGAGGGUCCGAGCGUUAAUCGGAAUUACUGGGCGUAAAGCGCGCGUAGGUGGUUCAGUCAGUCAGAUGUGAAAGCCCCGGGCUCAACCUGGGAACUGCACCUGAUACUGCUGAGCUAGAGUACGGUAGAGGGCAGUGGAAUUUCCGGUGUAGCGGUGAAAUGCGUAGAGAUCGGAAGGAACACCAGUGGCGAAGGCGACUGCCUGGACCGAUACUGACACUGAGGUGCGAAAGCGUGGGUAGCAAACAGGAUUAGAUACCCUGGU
Molecule: ribosomal RNA, 540 nt
Filed under: uncultured Marinobacterium sp.
Lineage: Bacteria; Pseudomonadati; Pseudomonadota; Gammaproteobacteria; Oceanospirillales; Oceanospirillaceae
Description: bacterial SSU rRNA
Rfam family: Bacterial small subunit ribosomal RNA
Source: RNAcentral